Molecule: ribosomal RNA, 165 nt
Filed under: Roussoellopsis tosaensis
Lineage: Eukaryota; Fungi; Ascomycota; Dothideomycetes; Pleosporales; Thyridariaceae
Description: partial large subunit ribosomal RNA
Rfam family: Eukaryotic large subunit ribosomal RNA
Source: RNAcentral
CGGCAACAGCUCAAAUUUAAAAUCUGGCCUCUUCGGGGCCCGAGUUGUAAUUUGUAGAGGGUGCUUUGGCGUCGGCCGUGGUCUAAGUUCCUUGGAACAGGACGUCACAGAGGGUGAGAAUCCCGUACGUGGCCGCCGGUCUUCGCCGUGUAAAGCCCCUUCGAC